RNAcentral lists this ribosomal RNA (358 nucleotides) under Pterois volitans (red lionfish). RNAcentral's name for it is "partial 12S ribosomal RNA". It matches the Rfam family "Bacterial small subunit ribosomal RNA", at positions 1023 to 1527 of the family's 1533-position model. The record is from RNAcentral. Lineage: Eukaryota; Metazoa; Chordata; Actinopteri; Perciformes; Scorpaenidae.
UUCUUGUUUAUUCCGCCUAUAUACCGCCGUCGUCAGCUUACCCUGUGAAGGUUUAAUAGUAAGCACAACUGGUUUAACCCAAAACGUCAGGUCGAGGUGUAGCGAAUGAAAGGGGAAGAAAUGGGCUACAUUCCCUAAAAAUAGGGAAAACGAAUGACAUACUGAAAUGCAUGUCUGAAGGAGGAUUUAGUAGUAAGUGGAAAAUAGAGCGUCUCACUGAAACUGGCCCUGAAGCGCGCACACACCGCCCGUCACUCUCCCCAAGCUCACCAACUCAAUUAACUUAAAAAGCCCACUAAUGCAAAGGGGAGGCAAGUCGUAACAUGGUAAGGGUACCGGAAGGUGCACUUGGAAAAAC